This 92-nucleotide small nuclear RNA is filed under the name Rhodnius prolixus. The record is from RNAcentral. Lineage: Eukaryota; Metazoa; Arthropoda; Insecta; Hemiptera; Reduviidae.
UAUACAAUUAAUGCCUGAUCUUUUAAAACUGGAACGAUACAGAGAAGAUUAGCAUGGCCCCUGCGCAAGGAUAACACGCAAAAUCGUGUUUU